CAGCCGCCGCGGUAAUACGGAGGGCGCGAGCGUUGUCCGGAUUCACUGGGCGUAAAGCGUGCGCAGGCGGCCCGUUAAGACAGGUGUGAAAUCCCUGGGCUCAACCUAGGAAUUGCGCUUGUGACUGGCGGGCUCGAGUACGGUAGAGGGGGGUGGAAUUCCUGGUGUAGCAGUGAAAUGCGUAGAGAUCAGGAGGAACACCGAUGGCGAAGGCAGCCCCCUGGGCCUGUACUGACGCUCAUGCACGAAAGCGUGGGGAGCAAACAGGAUUAGAUACCCUGGUAGUCCACGCCCGAAACGAUGGGUACUAGCCGUUUGGUGCGCGAGAGCGCUGAGUGGCGAAGCUAACGCGUGAAGUACCCCGCCUGGGGAGUACGGCCGCAAGGUUGAAACUUAAAGGAAUUGGCGGG
Molecule: ribosomal RNA, 410 nt
Filed under: uncultured microorganism
Description: bacterial SSU rRNA
Rfam family: Bacterial small subunit ribosomal RNA
Source: RNAcentral